CCGGGUUGGGGGACUACUCCUUUUAUGGGGAUCGCAAUGGCUUUAUUCGCUAUAUUCCUAUCUAUCAUUUUAGAAAUUUAUAAUUCUUCCGUUUUACUGGACGGUAGCCUCUUCCUAUUUAGGGAGAGGAAAACACUCUACUGUACCAGUAGGCCAAAGACCCGCAAGCUCAACCUGAUGCCUUUGUUAUUGUUCCUUGUUGCUAAAAUAUCGAUAUUAAGCCCGAAACUGCCAGUGGAACUAUUUUCCAUUUCCAGACAGACCCCGAGCCGAGGUUGGAACAAUUCUUUAUUUUCUUGUUGGUUCCUUCUUUAUUAUUUAUUCCAAGUUUUUCUCUUCCAUUCGGUUCAUUAG
Molecule: ribosomal RNA, 354 nt
Filed under: Triticum aestivum (bread wheat)
Lineage: Eukaryota; Viridiplantae; Streptophyta; Magnoliopsida; Poales; Poaceae
Description: partial small subunit ribosomal RNA
Source: RNAcentral